GGGGGGGGGGGGGGGGGGGGGGGGGGGGGGCGGGGCGGGCGGGCGUGGGCGGAUGUGGGCGGCGGGCGGGUGAGUACCGGGUGGGGACGUGCCCUUUGCUUCGGGAUAGCCUCGGGGAACUGGGGGUAAUGCCGGAUGUACCCUGUGGGGGAAAGAUUUAUCGGCAAAGGCUCGGCCCGCGUUGGAUUAGGUAGUUGGUGGGGUAAUGGCCUACCAAGCCGACGAUCCAUAGCUGGUUUGAGAGGAUGAUCAGCCACACUGGGACUGAGACACGGCCCAGACUCCUACGGGAGGCAGCAGUGGGGAAUCUUAGACAAUGGGGGAAACCCUGAUCUAGCCAUGCCGCGUGAGCGAUGAAGGCCUUAGGGUUGUAAAGCUCUUUCACCGGGGAAGAUAAUGACGGUACCCGGAGAAGAAGCCCCGGCUAACUCCGUG
This 435-nucleotide ribosomal RNA is filed under the name uncultured bacterium. Its description in RNAcentral is "partial 16S ribosomal RNA". It matches the Rfam family "Bacterial small subunit ribosomal RNA", at positions 39 to 507 of the family's 1533-position model. The record is from RNAcentral.